Molecule: non-coding RNA, 2549 nt
Organism: Doryrhamphus excisus (bluestripe pipefish)
Lineage: Eukaryota; Metazoa; Chordata; Actinopteri; Syngnathiformes; Syngnathidae
Source: RefSeq, a predicted model, not a curated record
GGACCAGGCUCGGUUGAGUUCUCGACUGAAGAAGAAGAGUGCGGUUGGAGUGCGAGAGGGUCGCGGCCGCGAUGAUCCGACAGAUGAAGAAAUAAUAAGAGGGGCGACAUAAAAGGGGGAAGAAAGCGUCUAUUCUACUACACACAACAAUGUUCCCGAAAGGCAAAGGUACACCGGUGCCCUCGGACGGCCAAGCCCGAGAAAAGUUGGCUCUCUAUGUCUAUGAAUAUUUGCUUCACAUCGGAGCACAGAAGUCGGCUCAGACCUUUUUGUCAGAGAUACGGUGGGAGAAGAACAUAACUCUUGGAGAACCCCCUGGAUUCCUGCAUUCCUGGUGGUGUGUGUUCUGGGAUUUAUAUUGUGCUGCACCAGAGAGAAGAGAGACAUGUGACCACUCCAGUGAAGCAAAAGCCUUCCAUGACUACAGUGCAGCAGCAGCCCCCAGCCCCGUAAUGGGUGGGAUGCCCCCUGGUGACGGUAUGCCGGGAGGACCGAUGCCGCCUGGAUUUUUCCAGGGUCCUCCUGGUCCCCAGGGCUCUCCUCACCCUCAGCCUCCUCCCCCUAACAAUAUGAUGGGACCACACAGUCAGUCCUUCAUGUCGCCUCGCUUUGCCGGGGGCCCGAGAGGUCCUCCCAUAAGGAUGACAAAUCAGCCCCCAGGCGGAGGACCAGGCCCUCAUCCCAUGUUGCCUAAUAUGGACCCCACACGACCACAAGGUCACCCUAACUUGGGGCCCAUGCAGAGAAUGAGUGGCCCUCGAGGCAUGGGGCCAAUGGGUCCAGGCCCUCAGAACUUUGGUGGUGGAAUGAGACCCCCACACAACACCAUGGGUCCCGGCAUGCCAGGAGUGAACAUGGGUCCUGGGACUGGUCGGCCAUGGCCCAAUCCGAAUAAUGCUAACUCUAUGCCUUACUCAUCGCCAUCUCCUGGCGCGUAUGGGGGAGCAUCAGGAGGAGGACCCCCAGGGACUCCCAUCAUGCCCAGUCCCGCAGACUCCAACAACUCUGGUGACAAUUUGUACACCAUGAUCAACACUGGACCUGGCAACCGAAAUAAUUUCCCCAUGGGCCCUGGCUCUGAUGGACCCCUGGGAGCCAUGGCAGGGAUGGAACCACAUCACAUGAACGGGUCACUAGGUUCUGGUGACAUGGAUGGAAUGAAUAAGAAUUCUCCAAACAAUUUAAGUGGCAUUAGCAAUCCUCCCGGGACCCCAAGGGAUGAUGGAGAGCUGAGUGGGAACUUCCUCCACUCCUUUCAGAGCGAGAACGGAGGUGGCUCAUGGGUCAAGGAAGAACCUGUUUCAUAUUGGUGAGGAUCUGGAUAAAGAAGAUGCGUUGAGCACACCAUCAAUACGCUAACAGACAACAACAAGGGUCUCUUGUUUUACUACACCAACGUUUGUAAGAAGAACAAUUUUAUUCAAGACGAGACUUGAGGGCUGCAGCAGCAGUGGAGACUAUGGCAUAUAAUACUGCAGCAACAGGUACUCUCCAACCAUGACAAUGAGUGUGUGACCUCCUCCCUUUUGCUCCUCCAUGUCCCAACUGCCCUACCCAGCCUAAUUUGCCAUCAUUCCAAGGAUUUGAACUCCCUAUCAGCCAAACACAUCAGCAAAUCAGGGAUCCACACCAUUAAAAAUAAAUACAUUUUUAAAAAGUAUCCUUGCUCAAAGAAAGUGAAGGACAUUUUAUCCAUAUUUGUUGCAAACCAGCUACUGAAUCAUCUCCCUAUUAGUCCUCUCCUCUAUCACCUUUUAGAGCAAACACUUGUUUACCUCUUGUACUUUUUAUUAUGAGUUACUGCUCGGUGCAGGAAGUGUCUCCCGCUUUGAAACACUGGAGAGUGUACAUACAUACAGUACAUUGUGAGCUUUCAAAGUUGUUUUUUUUAUUUUAUUUUUUUAUUAUUGCUUCUUGCCACAACAGUUGCUGCCUGCCUUACUGAUAGACAUCAGCCAUGCUUGUUCCCUGCUUCGUGUUGAUUCCGGUCAGUCUACAAAUGAAAUGAGAAGCUCAGAAUUAUGUCACACACUGCCCAACAUUGUAAUAUUUUGUUCUAUUUAAGUAUUUUUUUUGUUACCGUGAUGACCUUUCACAGUAUGCAUGUCAAAGUGAUCCCAUUCACGCCAAUGCAUGAAUGCUGAGACUCCUGUGUACAAACAUACUACCUAGUGCUGCUGUGUGGACACCUGCUUUAAAUCAUCCUAAUUGUCGUAGCCUUCUGUGUGUCAUUUUUGCCUCAUUUAUGAUGCCUUUUCAACCUCUCCCUGCACAUUUUUAUUUCUUGGUAAUAUUUUGAUACGAUCUUUGACUACAUAUAAAUGGCCCCAGUUAUCCAGAGAUAGUUGAAGUGCUCUAAACUGAUUCUUGUUGGCAUCGUUAUUAAACUUAGAAGCAGUCUUGUAAAUGUGAUGAGGAUUUUUUUUUUAAUUGUUCCUCCUCCUGUGAACAUUAUACAUGUCAGUCCUAUGUUGCCUUUAUUUGCUUAUAUUUUUUUAUUUCAAAAUUGAGGAAAGAUUGCUUGUUAAUAUAAUUUUACAAUAACUUAA